RNAcentral lists this ribosomal RNA (2127 nucleotides) under uncultured fungus. Its description in RNAcentral is "bacterial SSU rRNA". The stretch from base 1188 to 2127 matches the Rfam family "Eukaryotic large subunit ribosomal RNA", at positions 1 to 942 of the family's 3401-position model. The record is from RNAcentral. Lineage: Eukaryota; Fungi.
GGAAGAUCACCACCAGGCGUGGAGCUUGCGGCUUAAUUUGACUCAACACGGGGAAACUCACCAGGUCCAGACACGAUAAGGAUUGACAGAUUGAUAGCUCUUUCAUGAUCUUGUGGUUGGUGGUGCAUGGCCGUUCUUAGUUGGUGGAGUGAUUUGUCUGGUUAAUUCCGAUAACGAACGAGACCUUAACCUGCUAAAUAGACCCCCUGCCUUCUGGGGAGGGGCUGUCUUCUUAGAGGGACUAUCGGCUUUUAGCCGAUGGAAGUUUGAGGCAAUAACAGGUCUGUGAUGCCCUUAGACGUUCUGGGCCGCACGCGUGCUACACUGACCAAGCCAGCGAGUUCUUCCUUGGCCGGAAGGCCUGGGUAAUCUUGUGAAACUUGGUCGUGAUGGGGAUAGAGCAUUGCAAUUAUUGCUCUUCAACGAGGAAUGCCUAGUAAGCGCAAGUCAUCAGCUUGCGUUGAUUACGUCCCUGGUCUUUGUACACACCGCCCGUCGCUACUACCGAUUGAAUGGCUUAGUGAGGCCUUCGGACCGGCUUUUGGGGUUGGCAACGACAUCCGAUUGCUGGAAAGUUGAACGAACUUGGUCAUUUAGAGGAAGUAAAAGUCGUAACAAGGUUUCCGUAGGUGAACCUGCGGAAGGAUCAUUAGCGAAAUCCAAAUUGGUUGGUGUCCUGAUACCGAAAGGGUCAGGCCCUUCCAUCAUUUCAUACACCUUUGUCGAACUGUAGGGGAAUUGGCUAACACCUUUUUCCUGUCUUUUUCAUACUCUUAAAGUCUGAGAAUGAAGUCUUGGUUAAAACCAAAAUAUAAUUUUCAACAACGGAUCUCUUGGCUCUCGCAUCGAUGAAGAACGCAGCGAAAUGCGAUAAGUAAUGUGAAUUGCAGAAUUCAGUGAAUCAUCGAAUCUUUGAACGCAUCUUGCACCCUGGGGUAUUCCCUAGGGUAUGUCUGUCUGAGUGUUAUUUGAACUCUCAAAGUCUCUUUCCUUUGAUUAGGUCAGAGUAUUUUGGAUCUUGAGUGUUUGCAAAUUGCUCACUUUAAAUAGAAUGUGGCAUUCACCUCUGAAGCUGCUGUCAGGUUUGACUUGGAGUGAUAGAAGUCUUUCGAGAUCUCUAGGGAACUGUCGUCUGAUGGUACCUGUCGUGGUGGGAGGGAGUGUCUGACAGACUUAUCUGACGUUUUUGACCUCAGAUCAGGCAGGACUACCCGCUGAACUUAAGCAUAUCAAUAAGCGGAGGAAAAGAAACUAACAAGGAUUCCCCUAGUAACGGCGAGUGAAGCGGGAAGAGCUCAAAUUUGUAAUCUGGCCGGUCACCGGUCCGAGUUGUAAUCUGUAGAGCUGUCACUGUGCCAGUCCUCUCAUGAGUCCGUUGGAAUACGGCGUCAAAGAGGGUGAGAACCCCGUUCUUGGUGAGGUCUCUGGUGCUCUGUGUGAUGGUUUCGAAGAGUCGAGUUGUUUGGGAAUGCAGCUCAAAUUGGGAGGUAGAUUCCUUCUAAAGCUAAAUAUUGGCGAGAGACCGAUAGCAAACAAGUACCGUGAGGGAAAGAUGAAAAGCACUUUGGAAAGAGAGUUAACAGUACGUGAAAUUGUUGAAAAGGAAACGCUUGAAGUCAGACGUGCCCAACCGUGUUCAGCCUCUUGGUGUAUUCACGGUGGCAGGCUAACAUCGGUUUUGAGGGUCGGAUAAGGGUUUGGGGAAUGUGGCAGCUUCGGUUGUGUUAUAGCCCCUUGCUUGAUACGGCUCUUGAGACUGAGGACCGCGGCUCGCCUCGUGGCAGGGGAUUCGUCCUCUUCCGAGCCUAGGAUGUUGGUGUAAUGGCUUUAAACGACCCGUCUUGAAACACGGACCAAGGAGUCUAACAUGCUUGCGAGUGUUUGGGUGUCAAACCCCUGGCGCGAAAUGAAAGUGAAUGUAGGUGGGACCCGCAAGGUGCACCAUCGACCGACCUGGAGUCUCUGACGAAAGGUUUGAGUAAUAGCAAGUAUGUUGGGACCCGAAAGAUGGUGAACUAUGCCUGGAUAGGGUGAAGCCAGAGGAAACUCUGGUGGAGGCUCGUAGCGGUUCUGACGUGCAAAUCGAUCGUCAAAUCUGGGUAUAGGGGCGAAAGACUAAUCGAACCA